ACUUCAGGUCAUGUUUCUGUUGAUUUAACAAAUGACAUAGAAACUCUUAUUUUUCAAAUACAUUUUCCCUCCUGGGUCUCUAGCUCUUUAAGAAUUAACUGUUUUAAAUGAUCUAGUCUUCAUACUUGCAGACAGAGACUUAGCUCUAAUAAUAUGAUUAAUUAGUUUCUCUAUCAGAUAAUAACAUGAAAAAUAUUAGAAUCAGGAAAUAAACUCCAAAGACUAAUCAUUUAAAGAUAUAAUAAGAUAUAUACUAUAUAUAAUAAUCCUGUCAUUAGAUGGACCUCUCAUUUUAAAACAUAAUAAAAUGUGUAGUUUAAAAACCUAAAAUCAGCCCUAUGAAACGUGUUAGAAGCUUGGAAGUUGCCACAAGUCAAAGUGAAACUGCCUUUGCAAAAAAUCAUAAGUGAGGAAAUUAUGUCGGUGAAACAGACCUAACUGACCCCUUCUUCCUUCUAACCUUGAAACUGUGUUUGUUCAUUCCGGGGUGUAGGCCAAACUAGCCUUGGGAAGGAAUUUAUAGUUUAAACUCUGAAAUAAAAUUGAUAACAGUCCUUUCCUGAAAAACCCUUUCUUGCCUGGGGACCAGUCUGCCUUUGUAGGACUAAUAAAUUAGCUACAAGAUUAGAAAUUACGGUUUAGGGGCCAUGCAGCCUCUGACUGCAAGAGUCUGAACCUUCCCAAAAUCGCUCCUGGGAAUAACAUCACUAUGGUAAAACCUAAGAUCAGUGUUUAAGAUAUUUACAGACCCUGCGUUCUGAUAUAGCACAUGACAUCACUCAGAUGACGCCACUCAGACUGAUAAUACAGCUCAGCCAGUUCUGCGAUCCCACCCAGGAAUGAAUGUAAGCCAGCAAGAACUCACUUCGACCCCCUAUGAUUUUACCUUCAACCCAACCAAUUAGCACUCCUCACUUUCCAAGCCCAUACCCGACAAACUAUCCUUAAAAACUCUGAUCUGGGAGACUGAUUUGAGUAAUAAUAAAACUCCGAUCUCCCACACAGCUGACUCUGCUUGAAUUACUCUCUCUCCAUUGCAAUUCCCCUGUCUGGAUAAGCUGGCCCUGUCUAGGCAGCAGGCAAGGUGAACACUUGAUUACAAAAGGAUGAAGAAACUGAAGAAUCAACAACUCUUAGAUCGAUCAGAGAAGCGAGGGCACAGGGCAAACCACUGCCUCCAAAACUGGGUAAGUCAAGAGUCCUACCCACUAUAAACCUAAAUACCAUGGUAAGCUAUUACAGCAUUGGGAACAGAUGGUGAAGUUUUCCAUAAAAGAGAAAGGGAAACAGACCUGUCUGAAGCAAGAAAGCCUGUGUGGAUGAAUAUUGCUUCCAGGAGUCACAUAAUUACAUCUAAAAUCAUAGAAUGUUAGAGCUGGAGGAAUCUUUAGAGUUUGCCCAAGGUCCUUCACCAGCAUUUUACAGAAGAUUCUUCGAUUUAACUGCUCUUAAUUACAUCCCGUUGCACUGGCCCCAUCAAGUUGCUUUAAACAGCCCUUCUAGUCAACAGAGCUGCAGAGAAAAACCUUGAGCUGUCACACUUCAUUUGUGAGAACACUCCAGAGCUUCCUCCAGCUGCUGAUUCCAAACCAGCUUCACAAAUAAACAACAUUUAUAAUCCCAGACCUGUGGGAAGCAUUUCCAGGAAAUAUGGAUCAUCACAUUGGCUCUUGUUACCAGAACUGUGCAAGGCUCCCAUUGGCCGAACACAACUGGAUUUCAGAAGACUUAAUGGAGACUAUACAGGAAUGACCUGCCUUGUUGUAAGAGGUUUGGGGAGAGAGCCAUGUGGCAAGCAACUGCCAGCAGCCUCUUGGAACUCCUGGCUAACAGUCAGCAAAAAGCCAGAAACCUCAGUUUACAACCACAAAAUGAUGAAUCCUGCCAACAACCUGAGUCGGUUUUGCAGUGGAUCCAUCCCCAGUCAAGCUUUCUGAUGAGAAUCCAGCUCCAGCCAAGAGCUUUUGCUGUUGUUCUUGUAAUUAAUUGUUCCAAGCAUCCAUUCUUUCUGUAGCCUCAAGAUGGUAUAUACGAUUUUGCACUUCGUUGGGAGGUCAUGCUGAUACAAGAGGUGAGCUCCCACAGCCUCGGGCAGCUCCUCCCCUGUGGCUUUGCAGGAUACAGCCCCCAUCCUGGCUGCUUUCAGGGGCUAGUGUUGAAUGUCUGCAGCUUUUCCAGGCGCAUAGUGCAAGCUGUUGGUGGAUCUAUCGUUCUGGAGUAUGGAGGAUGGUGGCUCUCUUCUCACAGCUCUACUAGGCAGUGCCCCAGUGGGGACUCUGGGGCAUCCAACCCCACAUUUCUCUUCCACACUGCCCUAGCAGAGGUUCUUCAUGAGGCCCCACCUCUGCAGCAAACUUCUGCUUGGACAUCCAGAUGACAGGUAUCAUUAUCCAUGUGGAAGACUAGGCUGGAAGAGCUUGUCUCCAACUUUGAAGAAGUGAAAAAACCAGAUGUUUGGGGCAAUUCAGAAGUCUGUGGAAGUUGAAGGUGUUAAUCAAUGGCACUCAGGUUACUUCCAAGAGAAACUAUUCAGGAUUUCCAAGUAACGAAGAAUCAAGCUAGUUUGUAAUGUCCUCAAAGAAAGAAACAUUUUCAUUUCUACAUGACCAGCAGCUAUCAUAGGGGCUGGCACACAGAUUUCUCAUCCUGGGAGAAACCAGCUGCCAGGUCUUGAGGAACACUCAAGCAGCACUGUGGGGAGACCCAUGUGGUGAGGAACUGGAGCCUCUGGAUAACACUCAGCAGAAACUGAGGCCUUCCAACAACCCCAUGAGUGAUACUGAAAGCAGAUCUCCCAGCCCCAGUCAAGCCUUCGGAUGACUGCGGCCCAGUAACAGCUUGAAUGCAACCUCACAAGAGACGUUGAGCUAGAAGCAGCUAGCCAAUCCACUCUUGGAUUCCUGACCCUCAGAAACUGAUAAUAAUAAAUGUUUGCUGUUUUAAGCUGCUAAGUUUUGUAGUAAUUUGUUACAGAGCAACAUGUAACUAUCAUAUGUUAAUAUUAACAGUGAGAUGGUGGCAAAAUACCAACCCACAAUGUGGAAGUGGCUUUAGAACUGAGCAAUGGGCUUUGACGAAAGGGUUAGUGACAGUCUGUAGUGCCUCGAACACACCGUCAAUAGAAGCCUUGUGGUUUUUCCUAAAGCUACAGGUGAGGGCUCACAGGUAAAUGAAGCAAAUGUUGGAAACUAGAGAAAGAGGGAAUUCAUUAUGUUGUAGUAAAAAAAUUAGUAAUGCUUUUGCCUGAAG
RNAcentral lists this long non-coding RNA (3249 nucleotides) under Homo sapiens (human). RNAcentral describes it as "HSALNT0244521". Lineage: Eukaryota; Metazoa; Chordata; Mammalia; Primates; Hominidae. The record is from RNAcentral.